CCUACGGUGGACAGCAGUGGGGAAUAUUGGGCAAUGGAGGAAACUCUGACCCAGCAACGCCGCGUGAGUGAUGAAGGUCCUCGGAUUGUAAAGUUCUUUUCUAAGGGAAGAAGAAGGCGACGGUACCUUAGGAAUAAGCCUCGGCUAACUACGUGCCAGCAGCCGCGGUAAUACGUAGGCGGCGUGCGUUAUCCGGAAGGACUGGGCGUAAGGGGUGCGUAGGUGGUUUGGCAAGUUAGUAGCGUAACUCCAAGGCCCAACCUUGGAACUACUACUAAAACUGUUGGACUUGAGUGCAGGAGGGGCAAGCGGAAUUCCUGGUGUAGCGGUGGAAUGCGUAGAUAUUAGGAGGAACACCAGUGGCGAAGGCGGGUUGCUAGACUGUAACUGACACUGAGGCACGAAAGCGUGGGGAGCAAACAGGAUUAGAUACCCCUGUAGUC
This 443-nucleotide ribosomal RNA is filed under the name uncultured bacterium. RNAcentral's name for it is "partial 16S ribosomal RNA". It matches the Rfam family "Bacterial small subunit ribosomal RNA", at positions 338 to 795 of the family's 1533-position model. The record is from RNAcentral.